GAAAUGCGAUAAGUAAUGUGAAUUGCAGAAUUCAGUGAAUCAUCGAAUCUUUGAACGCACAUUGCGCCCGCCAGUAUUCUGGCGGGCAUGCCUGUUCGAGCGUCAUUUCAACCAUCAAGCCCCCGGGCUUGUGUUUGGGACCUGCGGCUGCCGCAGGCCCCGAAAACCAGUGGCGGGCUCGCUGUCACACCGGGCGUAGUAGAUUUUUCGUCUCGCCCAGGGCGUGCUGCGGGUUCCGGCCGUUAAAAAGCCUCUCUUUUAACCCAAGGUUGACCUCGGAUCAGGUAGGAAGACCCGCUGAACUUAAGC
This 309-nucleotide unclassified non-coding RNA is filed under the name plant metagenome. RNAcentral's name for it is "partial contains 5.8S ribosomal RNA, internal transcribed spacer 2, and large subunit ribosomal RNA". The stretch from base 1 to 105 matches the Rfam family "5.8S ribosomal RNA", at positions 50 to 154 of the family's 154-position model. The record is from RNAcentral.